This 90-nucleotide transfer RNA is filed under the name Armillaria borealis. It matches the Rfam family "tRNA". Rfam says of the family: Transfer RNA (tRNA) molecules are approximately 80 nucleotides in length. Their secondary structure includes four short double-helical elements and three loops (D, anti-codon, and T loops). Further hydrogen bonds mediate the characteristic L-shaped molecular structure. tRNAs have two regions of fundamental functional importance: the anti-codon, which is responsible for specific mRNA codon recognition, and the 3' end, to which the tRNAs corresponding amino acid is attached (by aminoacyl-tRNA synthetases). tRNAs cope with the degeneracy of the genetic code in two manners: having more than one tRNA (with a specific anti-codon) for a particular amino acid; and 'wobble' base-pairing, i.e. permitting non-standard base-pairing at the 3rd anti-codon position. The record is from Rfam by way of RNAcentral. Lineage: Eukaryota; Fungi; Basidiomycota; Agaricomycetes; Agaricales; Physalacriaceae.
GGCGCUAUAGUGUAGUGGCAGCACAUGGGAUUCUGAUGUCAGCUAGGAAUAUGUAUUCCCAUAACCCAGGUUCGACCCCUGGUAGUGCCU